GCCUGGGUGGCUCAGUCGGUUGAGCAUCCGACUUCGGCUCAGGUCACGAUCUCGCGGUCCGUGAGUUCGAGUCCCAUGUCGGGCU
Molecule: transfer RNA, 85 nt
Filed under: Felis catus (domestic cat)
Lineage: Eukaryota; Metazoa; Chordata; Mammalia; Carnivora; Felidae
Rfam family: tRNA
About the family: Transfer RNA (tRNA) molecules are approximately 80 nucleotides in length.
Source: Rfam by way of RNAcentral